Molecule: long non-coding RNA, 782 nt
Filed under: Callithrix jacchus (white-tufted-ear marmoset)
Lineage: Eukaryota; Metazoa; Chordata; Mammalia; Primates; Cebidae
Description: lncRNA (ENSCJAG00000059186.2)
Source: RNAcentral
UACAAUUAGUAGAAGAAAAUAUCUCAUAUAGAAAUAUUACAUUGUAAUCUGAUUUUAUCUCUUGUAGAGUUUAGUAAACACAUAAACCCCACAAAGAUGACAACACAACAUAAAAAGUAAGUGUGGCUUUAAGCAAAAACACAUCUGUAUUACUACCCUACAACAUGGUAUUCAUAACUUACGCUUCCAUUUUUUUUUUCCAGGAUGAUAGAUUAGAGGUUUUACCAUUACUCAGCCACUUGGAAAUAGACAGAUAAUGCAUAAAGGUCAACUCAGUGAGUGUUAAUUCAAGAAGGAAAACAGAAAUCUACUGAAGUCAUGAAAAGCACCCAGGAACUCAGAGAGAAUGCUGGCAAACAGCCAUCAUGAUGGCAUCUGCCUGACAAAAGUACUCUUUGAGUCUGACCACUGCCAGGCAUUAGUUACACCAAUUGUCUCAACCUUUUUCAACGGAAUAAUCUUUUCACUACAAGGAAUUCACAAUAUGCCUUUCAGGUAUGGAAAGAAAAUUCAUACUCAACCUGUAAAAACCUACCAGAUGGUACCAUAAUUUGUAUAUACAUAUAUGCAUACAGGAUAUAUUCCUGGAGAAUGAAUCAGAUUCAUGUUACACCUAUUUAGAUGUUUCAUUAUAUUUAAUUUUAAUUCAUUUAUUCAUGGUUUUAACCUCUGUAAGGACAUGCAUUAUUUAAAUUAAUAGACAGGUAAACUGCAUCAAUAAAACUGUAGCAUUUAAUGUUGAAGAUAACUGACAUGCAUGAAGUCAUUGUAUUAAAAUAUUG